GUCGAACGCUUCUUUUUCCACCGGAGCUUGCUCCACCGGAAAAAGAGGAGUGGCGAACGGGUGAGUAACACGUGGGUAACCUGCCCAUCAGAAGGGGAUAACACUUGGAAACAGGUGCUAAUACCGUAUAACAAUCGAAACCGCAUGGUUUUGAUUUGAAAGGCGCUUUCGGGUGUCGCUGAUGGAUGGACCCGCGGUGCAUUAGCUAGUUGGUGAGGUAACGGCUCACCAAGGCCACGAUGCAUAGCCGACCUGAGAGGGUGAUCGGCCACAUUGGGACUGAGACACGGCCCAAACUCCUACGGGAGGCAGCAGUAGGGAAUCUUCGGCAAUGGACGAAAGUCUGACCGAGCAACGCCGCGUGAGUGAAGAAGGUUUUCGGAUCGUAAAACUCUGUUGUUAGAGAAGAACAAGGAUGAGAGUAACUGUUCAUCCCUUGACGGUAUCUAACCAGAAAGCCACGGCUAACUACGUGCCAGCAGCCGCGGUAAUACGUAGGUGGCAAGCGUUGUCCGGAUUUAUUGGGCGUAAAGCGAGCGCAGGCGGUUUCUUAAGUCUGAUGUGAAAGCCCCCGGCUCAACCGGGGAGGGUCAUUGGAAACUGGGAGACUUGAGUGCAGAAGAGGAGAGUGGAAUUCCAUGUGUAGCGGUGAAAUGCGUAGAUAUAUGGAGGAACACCAGUGGCGAAGGCGGCUCUCUGGUCUGUAACUGACGCUGAGGCUCGAAAGCGUGGGGAGCAAACAGGAUUAGAUACCCUGGUAGUCCACGCCGUAAACGAUGAGUGCUAAGUGUUGGAGGGUUUCCGCCCUUCAGUGCUGCAGCUAACGCAUUAAGCACUCCGCCUGGGGAGUACGACCGCAAGGUUGAAACUCGAAGGAAUUGACGGGGGCCCGCACAAGCG
RNAcentral lists this ribosomal RNA (900 nucleotides) under Enterococcus faecium. Its description in RNAcentral is "bacterial SSU rRNA". It matches the Rfam family "Bacterial small subunit ribosomal RNA", at positions 61 to 931 of the family's 1533-position model. The record is from RNAcentral. Lineage: Bacteria; Bacillati; Bacillota; Bacilli; Lactobacillales; Enterococcaceae.